AAGUAUAAAGUCAAAAUCGUGAGGAAAUAUUAGCUAAAAGCGCCUAAAGGUUCAAAUAAUUGGCACGAGGCCCAAAUAUGGCAUUCAACCCAAAACAUAAUGAUAUCAAACCAUUUUCAGUCAAAUAUAUGGUAAAACAGUCAUAAGGGAUGGACUACAUCGCAGUACCCAAUAGUGCACGACCACACGCUCGUCAUCUAGCGUAUGCGUCACCUUAAUAU
RNAcentral lists this long non-coding RNA (221 nucleotides) under Nicotiana benthamiana. Its description in RNAcentral is "long non-coding RNA (NBEN_LNC005922)". The record is from RNAcentral. Lineage: Eukaryota; Viridiplantae; Streptophyta; Magnoliopsida; Solanales; Solanaceae.